This is an RNA transcript of Humulus lupulus (European hop), 1737 nucleotides long. It is a transcript of the gene named N-glycosylase/DNA lyase OGG1, with no coding region annotated. The record is from RefSeq and is a predicted model, not a curated record. The transcript has 4 exons. NCBI's taxonomy places the organism in Eukaryota, Viridiplantae, Streptophyta, Magnoliopsida, Rosales, Cannabaceae.
GGACAGAAGCAGGGGCAACGACAGAGAGAGAGAGAGCGAGAGAGAGGGGUUCAGAGCAAGUCGAGGCAACGAGAGAGAGAGAGGGUUGUAGAGAUCAAAUUCCAAAUUCCAGAAAAUAUCGCAUUCUCAUGCACGCAUUGAAACUGAGCACAGCCCCAAUCAUGAAGAAGAAGACGAUGCCGACGACUACACCCAUUCCAUCUCCUCCCUUAACUCCUCCAACCCCACAACUCAUCUCCAAAAUACCCAAAAGCCUCCUUAAACCCACCUCAACCCCAAUCACAAAAUGGGCUCCUCUCAAUCUCUCAAAAUCCGAGCUUUCCUUGCCUCUGACGUUCCCCACGGGCCAAACCUUCAGGUGGAAACAAACCGGGCCUCUUCAGUACACCGGAGCCGUUGGGCCUCAUCUGGUUUCUCUCAAGCACUUAACAAACGGCGACGUUUCCUACUGCCUUCACCGUACUUCUUCUCCCUCCUCCGAAGCCGAGGCUUUAGUGGCUUUGAGGGAUUUUCUCAAUGUGGGUAUUUGCCUUAGUGACGUUUGGGAGGUGUUUUCGGCUUCGGACUCGAGGUUCGCCGAGUUGGCUGGACAUUUGGGUGGUGCACGUGUGCUCAGGCAAGACCCACUGGAGUGUUUGAUGCAGUUUCUUUGUUCAUCUAACAACAACAUUCAGAGAAUAACGAAGAUGGUGAAUUUUAUUUCGUCAUUGGGGAAUUAUUUAGGGACCAUUGAAGGUUUUGAGUUCCACGAGUUUCCAUCUUUGGAACGAUUGUCAACAGUAGCAGAGCAAGAGCUUAGAGAGGCCGGUUUUGGUUAUAGGGCUAAAUAUAUUACUGGUACGGUAAAGGCGCUGCAAUCGAAACAUGGUGGAGGCGUAGAGUGGCUUUUGUCUCUUCGUAAAGUAGAUCUUGACGAGGCCAUUGAUGCCCUUUUAACUUUGCCUGGAGUUGGUCCUAAAGUAGCAGCCUGCAUAGCUCUCUUCUCUCUUGACCAACACCAUGCCAUUCCUGUAGACACACACGUUUGGCAGAUUGCUACAAGACACCUGCUACCAGAGUUGGCCGGUGCUCGCUUGACACCUAAGCUGUGCAGCCGUGUGGCAGAGGCAUUUGUGAACAAAUAUGGCAAGUAUGCUGGAUGGGCUCAGACUCUGCUUUUUAUUGCUGAAUUACCGUCACAAAAGGCAAUUCUGCCAUCUCAUUUUUCUAAUGCAAAAGGGAAAAAAUCUGUCAAGAGAAAGAUUGUGGAAACUAAUACCACUUCAGAAAAUGUAAUAAAUGAUAUCGAAGAGGGGUGACUCAAAUGGUCAGGUAUAUGGUUUGCUCCCAUAAGAUUUGAAAUUCGAGUCUCUCCUGGACAUAAUCGAUAUUGUUUUUUUCUCCCCAAAUAUCUUGGGUUAGGGGAGCCUAGUUUCGGGGGGAAAUGUAACUGGUGAUUGCUAAUUCUUUGUAACCUUGAAAAUUGUCAGAUUGUUUCAGUCUUCUAGCUCCAGGAAAUCAAACAUCAAUGUAAAUUAUUGAAAGCAAUGUACUUGCAAUCUGGUAGGAUACUAAUGGACACACGAGGCAGAAAAUAAGAGACAUUAUGAAAGAGGACAGUGGCAUCUUUGCUAUGUCUGUUCACUAGGAAAGCAACACAUUCUUCUGAGUUGUAGUCUCCAUACACAUAAGCCUUGAAAAACAAGAUACACCAGUUAUAUGUACAACCACUAAUAUGUCCUAAACUAAAGAAGAAUC